This 801-nucleotide ribosomal RNA is filed under the name uncultured bacterium. RNAcentral describes it as "bacterial SSU rRNA". It matches the Rfam family "Bacterial small subunit ribosomal RNA", at positions 67 to 843 of the family's 1533-position model. The record is from RNAcentral.
CGAGAAAGUUUUCUUCGGAAAGCGAGUAGAGUGGCGCACGGGUGAGUAACGCGUAGGCAAUCUACCCUUAUGACUGGGAUAACAUUGGGAAACUGGUGCUAAUACCGGAUACACUUCUUUACUGCGGGGUAAAGGAGGAAAGGUGGCCUCUUCAUGAAAGCUACCGUAUAGGGAUGAGCCUGCGUACCAUUAGCUAGUAGGCGGGGUAACGGCCCACCUAGGCAACGAUGGUUAGCGGGUCUGAGAGGAUGAUCCGCCACACUGGAACUGGAACACGGACCUGACUCCUACGGGAGGCAGCAGUGAGGAAUAUUGCGCAAUGGGGGAAACCCUGACGCAGCGACGCCGCGUGAGUGAGGAAGGUUUUCGGAUCGUAAAGCUCUGUCAGAAGGGAAGAAGUGUUAUAUGGUUAACACCCAUAUAAUUUGACGGUACCUUCAGAGGAAGCACCGGCUAACUCCGUGCCAGCAGCCGCGGUAAUACGGAGGGUGCAAGCGUUGUUCGGAAUUACUGGGCGUAAAGGGCGCGUAGGCGGCUGGAUAAGUCAGAUGUGAAAGUCCAUGGCUCAACUGUGGAAGUGCAUUUGAAACUGUCCGGCUUGAGUAUCGGAGGGGAGUGUGGAAUUCCCGGUGUAGAGGUGAAAUUCGUAGAGAUCGGGAGGAACACCGGUGGCGAAGGCGACACUCUGGACGAAUACUGACGCUGAGGCGCGAAAGCGUGGGGAGCAAACAGGAUUAGAUACCCUGGUAGUCCACGCCGUAAACGAUGUGAACUAGGGAUAGGGGGUGUUGAUCCCUCCUG